GGGGAGCGGGGAGCAUUUGGAGGGCGCUGGUGCUGGUCCCGGAGGAGGUGGCUUCCCUUUGCGGCUGGUCUCUGGGUCCGGGUUACAGUUGCCCGCGCGUGCAAGGAACUCCGUAGCCCGUCCCUGGCGGGUCGUAAAGACAGGCGGGGUCUGGGUGGCCCUUCCUCCCUUGGCGCAGAAAUGCUGCCUGGGCCGUCUGCGGGGGCGGCGGGCAGGCCUGGCCCUCCAGGUGAGCGCAGGGCAUCUAAGGCCAUUCGGGAUGCCUUGUGGAUGGGCGGCUAGAAUUUUGGCCUCUGGUCUCUGGGAUCCCUCGUUCUCUCCAGAGCCGAGCUGGCUCUAUCUUCCUCCCUGGAAGUAAGCCUGAAGGCCCUGACAGGCACCCAUAGGAGGUGCCAGCCCUAUUGCCCCCCUCCCCCCACCACUCAAGUUACCACCGUCUCUGCUUAUAGGCCCAGCUCCGGGGUUACCGGGAGGCAGGCACUGCCCUCCCACAUUCCGGAGGGGGACACUUUUAGGCUCUGGGGGCCUCAGCGGUAAAGGAAGGAGAAUCAUGUGAGGCAGGCAUCUCCCCCGGGACCCUGAACAUCCAGGCUGAGGAUAGACUGCCCCUGAGGAGGCUUGCUGGAGGAGGUCUUCCUCCUAAAGGCCUGGGAGAGAGCCGGGCGGCUGGGGGUGGGACAGACGGCUGACCAGGUCCAAGGAUGGGGAGGUGCCCUCCUGACCUCUGUGCCCCCAGAGUCUUUCCCUCAUCGCUGGCCUAGCUCAACCCUUCCUUCUCCUGCCCAACCCUUCCUUCUCCGUGUGGGUGGCUGCUGCAGCCCACCCCAGCAGGGCUCCGGGCCUGCCCUCGUAGCGUGUCUGCUCCUCCCCACCCAGCUCCAGCAGGACACGGACACAUGUCUCCCCGUAGCCCUAGCGCUGAGACGGUCCCAGCGCAUAGGAAGCACCGGUGUUUGUUACUUGCACACAUCUGCCCCAGGUUUACCAACCAAGAAGCUGUCAGGCAAGCUGAGUAACUUGCCUGAAGGCACAGGGCUCAGAGUGACUGAGGUCUGACUGCAGGGGCCCAGGACAGCCAUCUGCCUUUCUCUCAGCUCUCCCUGCCCAGCCCCGUGUCUCCUUGGCUCCUCCUGCAGGGCCUCCGCUGCAGAUGGCGGAAGGGUGGGCCACCAUGCCUGUGCUUGGCCCUGGGUGGCCCCAAGCCAGGGCCUUCAAAGAAGUAAUUCAGGUAAAAUGAGGCCACCUGACUGGUGUGCUCACCAGAGGAAGUGUGGACACACGGGGAGACCAGGAGAACUCACACGCGUUGGGUCCGCCAUACGAAGAGGCUGGCGGCCUAUGAGCCAGGGAGAGAGGCCCCAGAGGAAGCCAGCACACCAGCGCCUUGACCUUGCGCUUCUAGCCUCCAAACUGAAACGGCUUCCUCCCCAGGAAGUCAGCCACGUGACUUGGCGCUGGACUGCCGCUGGGUGGGGCGGGGGACACCUGCCCCCGUGCACACCGGCUGCCAGGAAUGCCGCCCUCUGCCCUCCGCCCUCAAGGAGGGGCCUUCCACCUAUGGCCUGUCGAGGCCGAUUGCCUGGAAGACACGUCCUGGGCCCAAAGAGGCCUGGACGCGUAGAGGGAAACUCCUGCAAUGAGCUGACAUUAAAAAUUCCAUCUAGACCCGGGGCAUCUGGGGUGCCUGAGUGUCUCAGUCGGUUGGGCCUCUGCCUUCAGCUCAGGUCACGAUCUCACGGUCUGUGAGUUUGAGCCCCGCGUCGGGCUC
Herpailurus yagouaroundi (jaguarundi) is the source of this 1768-nucleotide long non-coding RNA. RefSeq lists it as uncharacterized. NCBI's taxonomy places the organism in Eukaryota, Metazoa, Chordata, Mammalia, Carnivora, Felidae. The record is from RefSeq and is a predicted model, not a curated record. The transcript is spliced from 4 exons.